GGAAUUGUGGCUCAGCAGUAGAGCACUUACCUGGCACAUGCAAGGUGCUGGGUUCAAUCCCCAGCACCA
RNAcentral lists this transfer RNA (69 nucleotides) under Marmota monax (woodchuck). Its description in RNAcentral is "tRNA.Ala". Lineage: Eukaryota; Metazoa; Chordata; Mammalia; Rodentia; Sciuridae. The record is from RNAcentral.